GUUUAUUCAGUUCCCGUCUCUGGUUGUCGCUAAGUUAUUCUCAAGUUCUUCUUCCUGCAAUUCCUUUCAUUGCAAUCAUCUUCUCCGGCGUUCCCCAUCCAAUCUUACAGGCUUUGUUUUGUGAUUUGCUCCAAAGGGCGAGGAACUGCAAGUUUUCUGUUUCAUAUUUGAUGUUGAUGACGAGUUGCACAUGGUUGGGCUGUGUGGUACGAUGUUGAAUAUGAAGUAGCUGCAUGCAAAGAGUGCAGAGGAGGCGUAUAUGACGAGUUGCAGUGGUUUGCUAAGCAUGUAAAGUAAUUAUCUCCUUCUCAUUCUGUUUCUGAUGAGAACAAAUAUGGAUUCUUAAAUGGUAGAAUAAUUCUUGGAACUCUGAUCCAAUUCGAAGUCUUGAUCUAUUAAGUAUGAUAUUUGAUACUCUGCUAUAUAUUCCAAAACAAUGUUCUUAUUUCAAGUUGGAGAAAAUCAUACCAUAAGUAACCAGAUAUGCUGAGGACUGAUGGCCAAAAUGUGGACGGUUUACGUGGACAUGAAUCUAGAGAUUUUAGUGCAAUCAGCUUAUAGCCUUCUAGUCUGGAGCUUCAAUUCAUCAGUCUUCAGAACCAUGCUAUCAAACAAGUGGGGCUUCUAUGUUGUGCGGUUAUAGUUUCAUCCUCCUUGAAAAGUAUAAUGCUAACUUGGUACCGACUCAAAUGAGGCGUUGGAAAUUACCAAACACAUGGAAUUGGAAAUCAUGAUACUAAUAUGGUAUGGAAUGUGACAUUGUAUGCGUGAUUUUUUAUGUGGGAGAUGAUUAACGGUUAAGUGAACCUACCGUUGAACAAAUAAAACUCGUGUUUGAACAACUGAAAAACUAUUACAUCUUCUGAUAUACAA
Rosa chinensis is the source of this 873-nucleotide long non-coding RNA. RefSeq lists it as uncharacterized. The transcript is spliced from 3 exons. Lineage: Eukaryota; Viridiplantae; Streptophyta; Magnoliopsida; Rosales; Rosaceae. The record is from RefSeq and is a predicted model, not a curated record.